CAGUCGAGGGGCAGCAUGAAAGUUUGCUUGCAAACUUUUGAUGGCGACCGGCUCACGGGUGAGUAACACGUAUCCAACCUGCCUCAUACUCGGGGAUAGCCUUUCGAAAGAAAGAUUAAUACCCGAUGUCAUAGUCCUACCGCAUGAUGGGAUUAUUAAAGAAUUUCGGUAUGGGAUGGGGAUGCGUUCCAUUAGUUAGUUGGCGGGGUGACGGCCCACCAAGACAACGAUGGAUAGGGGUUCUGAGAGGAAGGUCCCCCACAUUGGAACUGAGACACGGUCCAAACUCCUACGGGAGGCAGCAGUGAGGAAUAUUGGUCAAUGGACGAGAGUCUGAACCAGCCAAGUAGCGUGAAGGAUGACUGCCCUAUGGGUUGUAAACUUCUUUUAUAUGGGAAUAAAACGUUCCACGUGUGGAAUUUUGUAUGUACCAUAUGAAUAAGGAUCGGCUAACUCCGUGCCAGCAGCCGCGGUAAUACGGAGGAUCCGAGCGUUAUCCGGAUUUAUUGGGUUUAAAGGGAGCGUAGGUGGAUUGUUAAGUCAGUUGUGAAAGUUUGCGGCUCAACCGUAAAAUUGCAGUUGAAACUGGCAGUCUUGAGUACAGUAGAGGUGGGCGGAAUUCGUGGUGUAGCGGUGAAAUGCUUAGAUAUCACGAAGAACUCCGAUUGCGAAGGCAGCUCACUGGACUGCAACUGACACUGAGGCUCGAAAGUGUGGGUAUCAAACAGGAUUAGAUACCCUGGUAGUCCACACAGUAAACGAUGAAUACUCGCUGUUUGCGAUAUACAGCAAGCGGCCAAGCGAAAGCAUUAAGUAUUCCACCUGGGGAGUAC
RNAcentral lists this ribosomal RNA (833 nucleotides) under uncultured bacterium. RNAcentral describes it as "bacterial SSU rRNA". It matches the Rfam family "Bacterial small subunit ribosomal RNA", at positions 59 to 883 of the family's 1533-position model. The record is from RNAcentral.